AUGAAGCUCGGGAUCUCUCUCCCCCCGCCCCGGAGCGUCGGCGGGAGGGCCAGCGCGCCCCCUGCUUCCUCCGCGUCGUCGGCGGCGCCGUCGCAGCAGCAGGCCUUCUCGCUCCCGCGCCCGAAGCUGCCGCGGCUCUCGGAGUCGGAGGCCUUCGUCGGCCAGGCCCUCCACCGGCCCACGCCCGCGCGCCACCAGGGAUUUGGCUUGCAUGACGACUCGUCGAAGAGGAUGCCUCCAUUUCCUCCCAGUUCAGCUUCUCGUGCACACGAAGAACCCCAGCAGCAGCAACCGGUGAUCGUACCCAGCAGCACUACCCUGCACUGGAACCCCUCUCCUACAGACACUAGAUGUCGGGUUAACGAGGACGCUGAGCGCAGGUUUCAGCACCUGUCAGGUUCAGUACACAAGGUGGGGAUGGUAUUGGACUCGGUACAAACUGAUGUUAUUCAGCUAAACCGAACCAUGAAGGACGCAUCGCUUGAAUCUGGUGUUGUGCAGCAAAAGUUUGAUCUCCUAGAGGAUACACUUCAGAAAAUUAUUAAAGGACAAAAUGAUCUGAAAGUACUUGCUGAAAGCAGCACGAAAAGCAACCUGGAUCAGCUGAAUGUAAUCAACUCUCGCACCAGCAAAUUGAAUGAGAUGUCUUUGGUCGUUUCAGUCUGCCCAAAACAAGUGCAAGCAGAUUUAAGGGAGCUGCAUGGUGACAUCUUCAGGGUUCUUACAAAGGACAUGGAGGGGGUUGUUAGAGAUAUCAGGUCUCUGAGUACUAAGCCUGCUGUAAUGCCAAUGCUGCCAGACCAUGUGGUAGCAAAAGGAAGUCCCCUGAUGAACAAGAUGUCUGUAGCAAACGAAAGGCCUACAAUGAACCAGACACCAGUAGCAAAAGGAAGUCCCCUGAUGAACAAGAUGUCUGUAGCAAAUGAAAGGCCUACAAUGAACCAGACACCAGUAGCAAAUGGACGGCCCCUGAUGAACCAAACACCAGUGGCAAAUGGAAGCCCCAUGAUCAUCAACCAGGCUCGAGUAGGAAAUGGAAGGUCCCAGCUGAAACAAACACCAGUUACAGAUGCAAUGCCCCAGAGGGAUCUAACACCAGAGAUAAAUGGAAGGCCCCAGAAGGACCGAAUACCAUUAGCAGAUGGAUGUCCCCAUAUGGAACAAAUAACACCAACAAAACCCCUUCCUGCAUGUUCCACUUAUACUACAAGGGCGCCAGUUCUGAAGCCAAAGGUAGAACAGGGUAAGGUAAAAGCAGCUCACAUGGUUGGUACAAGCUACAGGCUAGCACCUUCACAGAAAGAGGAGUUGAAUGAAAAGGUCAAUCCCCAAGAGCCAACUAAGAAGGAAGCAAUUAUAAUAAUCAUCGAUUCAGAUAAUGGCAGUAAAGGGUGCACUCCCCGGAUGAUUCUGAACAUGGAACCAGAUGGGCAUGUAUGGCGUACCAUGAUGAGCUUCCCUUCGUUUUCUUUUGGGUGGAGAAGGAAGAGACGACGGCGCCGGUGGAGGAGGCUAGUCCGCUGCGGCUGGCUCCCAUGA
Molecule: ribosomal RNA, 1539 nt
Filed under: Triticum aestivum (bread wheat)
Lineage: Eukaryota; Viridiplantae; Streptophyta; Magnoliopsida; Poales; Poaceae
Description: partial small subunit ribosomal RNA
Source: RNAcentral